UUUUCUCCAUUCUAAUAUCUACAUUCUUAUGGCAACUUUUCAACUGUACAAUCUUAAUACUACCUUUACAUUAACAGAAGAGGCCUACUACGCUGAGGAAGUGGUACAUGUUACUGUUCCCGAGGAAGCACCACCAGCUAAAGUGCCCAUGAUCCGGAAAAGACCAGAACCUGAAAAGAAAGCACCUAUGGCUGUUCCCAAGAAAGUGGAAGCUCCACCACCAACAAUAGUGUCCAAGAAAAUUCCUCCUGAAGAAAGGGAACCACCUAAAGUAAAAGAACCUCCACCACCAAAAGUGAUUGAAGUCCACAAGAAAAAGGUUGUCACUGAAGAAAAAAUAGCUGUUACUAAAAAGGAGGAGGCUCCACCCAAAAGAGUGCCAGCUGUAGCAAAGAAACCAGUGCCAGAAGAGAAGGUCCCUGUACCAGUUCCUAAGAAAAAGGUGGCACCACCUGCAAAAGUGCCGGAAGUUCCAAAGACAAUGAUCUCCGAAGAAAAAGUAUCUAUUGCUGUUCCAAAACCAAAACCACCUCCUCCCACAAAAGGUACUCAGACUUAGAAUUAAUCCCAUAUACAUAGAGAUCAUGUGCUGAGAAUCUCCCUGUUAAUUCUCCUAUUCAACACAAAAUUGUCAGGGAAGUUUAUUCUUUUCUCCCAAUACAAUUGAGGGUAUAACAAAGGGCCAACUCUUUUCUGUCUUUUUUUGUUCAAAUGCAGAAGAGUGACCUUUGGAGAUAUACAUAUUUUGUUUUCCUUCGAAUCACUUCCUUGGUCAACUAGGAAUUUUCGCUGUGCACCACAGAUAGCAUUCCUUGGAAGGUAUACUAAAAUUAAAUACUCUGUUUUUGCUCACAGCUGUAGAAGAGCGAUGGGGAUAUGCAGAGGAAGUGUCUGUUACUCUUCAUACAGAGGAGGAAGUCUCUUAUACAGGUAUGAAGUUAGCCGGAGCGGAAAAAAAACAGAGAUCCUGACCAAGCUCACAAGAUAGUUUAUGACAAGCCUGCCAUCUCGUUUUGGACCUGAAUGUGAAUGCAAA
RNAcentral lists this long non-coding RNA (1036 nucleotides) under Pogona vitticeps (central bearded dragon). Its description in RNAcentral is "lncRNA (ENSPVIG00000011918.1)". The record is from RNAcentral. Lineage: Eukaryota; Metazoa; Chordata; Lepidosauria; Squamata; Agamidae.